GAUGAACGCUGGCGGCGUGCCUAAUACAUGCAAGUCGAGCGAACAGAUGAGGAGCUUGCUCCUCUGACGUUAGCGGCGGACGGGUGGGUAACACGUGGAUAACCUACCUAUAAGACUGGGAUAACUUCGGGAAACCGGAGCUAAUACCGGAUAAUAUAUUGAACCGCAUGGUUCAAUAGUGAAAGACGGUUUUGCUGUCACUUAUAGAUGGAUCCGCGCCGCAUUAGCUAGUUGGUAAGGUAACGGCUUACCAAGGCGACGAUGCGUAGCCGACCUGAGAGGGUGAUCGGCCACACUGGAACUGAGACACGGUCCAGACUCCUACGGGAGGCAGCAGUAGGGAAUCUUCCGCAAUGGGCGAAAGCUUGACGGAGCAACGCCGCGUGAGUGAUGAAGGUCUUCGGAUCGUAAAACUCUGUUAUUAGGGAAGAACAAAUGUGUAAGUAACUAUGCACGUCUUGACGGUACCUAAUCAGAAAGCCACGGCUAACUACGUG
RNAcentral lists this ribosomal RNA (497 nucleotides) under uncultured bacterium. Its description in RNAcentral is "partial 16S ribosomal RNA". It matches the Rfam family "Bacterial small subunit ribosomal RNA", at positions 28 to 507 of the family's 1533-position model. The record is from RNAcentral.